AGCUUUAUAGUCAAUUAUGACAUUAGACUGCAAUUCUAAAGGAGUAUUUUAUACUAAGGCUU
Molecule: transfer RNA, 62 nt
Filed under: Neopanorpa chelata
Lineage: Eukaryota; Metazoa; Arthropoda; Insecta; Mecoptera; Panorpidae
Description: tRNA-Cys
Source: RNAcentral